Molecule: ribosomal RNA, 492 nt
Filed under: uncultured bacterium
Lineage: Bacteria
Description: partial 16S ribosomal RNA
Rfam family: Bacterial small subunit ribosomal RNA
Source: RNAcentral
AGUGAACGCUGGCGGUAGGCCUAACACAUGCAAGUCGAACGGGAGCACAGUAAGAGCUUGCUCUUACGGGUGGCGAGUGGCGGACGUGUGAGGAAUACAUCGGAAUCUAUUUUUUCGUGGGGGAUAACGUAGGGAAUCUUACGCUAAUAGCGCAUACGACCUACGGGUGAAAGCAGGGGAUCUUCAGACCUUGCGCGAUUGAAUGAGCCGAUGUCUGAUUAGCUAGUUGGCGGGGUAAAGGCCCACCAAGGCGACGAUCCGUAGCUGGUACGAGAGGUUGAUCACCCACACGGAAACUUAGACACGGACCAGCCACCUACGGGAGGCAGCAGUGGGGAAUCUUGGACACUGGGCGCACUCCUAGUCCAGCCCUACCGCGUGGGUGAAGCAGGACUUCCGGUUGUAACGCCCUUUUGUUGGGAAAGAAAAGCAGAAGGUUAAUACCCCGCUGUACUGACGGUACCAAGUGACUAAGCACCGGCUAACUUCGUG